AGAACAGGUGGAAGAGUGAUGUAUCAAGAAUUAGGCCACGAUCAUCACAUGAUUUGUGAGAAGGAAGUAUUGCCAGAUACUACAAAGCGAAGCAAAUUUGGGUUGAUAUUAAGGCCACUAUCAGCACAUCUUACUUUUAUCCAAAGAUUCUCCUUAUUAUGAUCAAAAGAUCAACCUUGUACUGAUCAGAAUGUAAUGUACAAUUUGCAAAACUAUUGAUCACAAUGUAAUGUACAAUUUGCACUUUGCAAUUUGCAAAAUAUGGAAUAUUCAUACAAUAACUGUCUUUUUUGCUUUUUUAGCAUCAUACUUUUUACACAACACUAGAAUCACUACUUCAUCUAAUUCUUUUCUUUUUCUCCAAUUUUCUCCUAAAGCAAAGACUAAUAGAACCAUGAAAAAGAACCUGUAAUAGCUGCAAGAAGUUCAAUAUCCAGAAGAUAAACAUAACCAUGAAAAAAGAAACUCUAAUAUCUACUUUCAAGCAGUUCAAUAUACCAAAACACACACUGAACCAAGGAAAACAAAAGACAAUUGGUGCACUUGACAGAUUUGACUGAACUGCAAACUCAGGAGCAAAUUACAAUGUUGUUCCAGACCUAGGAUAAACAUCAAUUCUUAAAAUCAAAAAAGAAAAAACAAUAGCAAAUCUUGUCUGCAUCUCCAAAGUAACAUCCAAGCAAAUGUAAAGUGACUCCUCUGAUUGAUCAUGCACACCAGCAGCUAAUCAUCCUGAAUACAACAUGUACAUGAAAACAAGAUGAUAUUAAUUCUUUAUAAAAAAAAAUAAUCAAGAUUAUAGGAAUGGUAAAGAGGUAAUAAUAUUACCUGUGAUGAACUAUCAUUAUCUAUAUCUUCUCCACUAAGAUUGUCAGCAGAUCUAAAAGAGAAAUAACAUAUAUUUAGCACACACUGUCCAAAUAUUAACAAUAAAAUUGGAAAUAUGUUGGAUAUGUAUUCUUACUGAUUGAGAUUGAGCAACACGGGACAGUUGCGUUUGUCAUGGGUUUGCCCAUCUUUGCC
RNAcentral lists this long non-coding RNA (1023 nucleotides) under Fragaria vesca (wild strawberry). RNAcentral describes it as "long non-coding RNA (FVES_LNC004590)". Lineage: Eukaryota; Viridiplantae; Streptophyta; Magnoliopsida; Rosales; Rosaceae. The record is from RNAcentral.